This 361-nucleotide ribosomal RNA is filed under the name Procambarus steigmani. RNAcentral's name for it is "partial small subunit ribosomal RNA". The record is from RNAcentral. Lineage: Eukaryota; Metazoa; Arthropoda; Malacostraca; Decapoda; Cambaridae.
UAGUACACUUAAAUUUAAUUUGUAUUUACUAGAAUAUUAAAAGUUAUGUUCUUAAAAUUUAAAGAAUUUGGCGGUGUUUUAGUCUAGUUAGAGGAACCUGUAUUAUAAACGAUACAACACGCAUUAUUUUACUUGUUUUGGUAAGCAGUUUGUAUACCGUCAUUAUAAGAUAAUUUGAGAGAGAAUAUUAUUGAGAUCAUAUUGUUGAGUAUAUUAGAUCAAGGUGCAGCUUAUAGAUAAGUAAAUAUGGGUUACAAUAAAAUUUAUUUAAUAUGGAUUAUAUAUUUAAAUAUAUUUAUGAAGGAGGAUUUAAUUGUAAGAGAAGGAGUAGUAAGAUUUUCUGAUAAGAGCUCUAAAUUAU